Molecule: long non-coding RNA, 1002 nt
Organism: Tympanuchus pallidicinctus (lesser prairie-chicken)
Lineage: Eukaryota; Metazoa; Chordata; Aves; Galliformes; Phasianidae
Exons: 2
Source: RefSeq, a predicted model, not a curated record
CGCGCUAGCGAGCUAAAGCGGGAACGCACGGAGUUCUCUGAUUGGCUACCGAAGGCCGAGAGCUGCCGAAGAGUGCCGAAGAGUGCCGAAGAGUGCCGACGGGGGUCGCUGGCACCGAGGGGUGCGUGCCAGGCGCGAGAGUUCCGUCUUGUGGCAUGGCCUGCGGAACGAGCGGCCGUUGAGGGCUUCGUAGCUUUUCCGAGGGAAUUUCCCUGCUAGGCACGCACAGAAUGUGGACAAAAAUAGACACAAAUGGACUUAAAUAUACUCUGCGUAGAAGCAGUUGGAAGGAAGGACUGGACACAAUCCAAUUAAGCAUCAACAACUAAGAACACGUCAGCAAUCAUCCCUCCAUUGAGAGAUAUUCUUCAGCAGACAACCAUCCAGCUGAAAAAAAAAAAAAAAAGCCUUUUCCUAAUUGCCAAGGCUGGUUCAAUUGCUGUGAUUGCUUCCAGAGAAUCAUCGUGUCUAUUUUAGGUACCACAGAACCAGCAAAUCUUAUGGCUUGAAAGUAAUUGGCCUUCAGUGGGAAUUAGCUCUGUCUGCAAGCCUUCCUCAGUGCAGUGGGAGCACAGCAGGGCCAGGCAGUGCCAAGGCUCACGUGCACCUUUCUAGUGCUGUAAGCGUGCCUUUACGUGAGGCUUAGGUGGCUGUGACGCAUCUGGAGAUAGCGACUUCAAGGGACAAGAGAUAACGUUAUCUAAUUAAAACCAUACCUUCAUAAAAGACCACAGGGAUCUCGUCAGGUCACUUGCAAUUUUUCAGCUACCUGCAAUGAAUAGAGGACAAAGUUGCUUUGCUUUGUUCUCUGUUAUUCCAGGUGGAAAAGGAGUGGUGGUAUUAACAUAAAUAAUAAAAAUACCUUCUUUUGUUUGAUUUGGAUUGUCAGUUUGCUUCCAAAGCCUUUUUUGUUGUGCUUCUAAUUAAUGUCAGCGUAGUAACCCUCUUAGGAAACCAGAUUCUCUUUUACAAACUAAAAAUAAAAGCGUUCAAACUGCGGAA